CAUGAUUAGGAUGAAGCUGGAAACACAGAAGCAUCUUCAGUCUCUGCGUUAUUCCAGUUUCUUCAAAAAAACCACUGUGUAGCCCUUGCUCUUAUAUCUCUUAAAAGCUGCUGUCAAAAUAGAUGUUCUUCCCCAAAAAAAGAAUCUCUCCUCCUCACUAGAUGAAUGAAAUAUCUUUACUUAUAAAGUAAGGGUUUUUUGUAAAUGUCUCUAAAAAAAGGCAACAUAAUUAAUGGAAUAUUUUUUUAUUAGGCAAAUUAUGCUGAUUACCAGCAGUCAACUGUAUUGCUGCAAAGCAUUCUGACAGUUUGUCUGAAUUAUUUGUGUGCCUAGACUUUAAGCUCUUUGGGCAGGAAUGAUUCUCUCCCAGCGUAAGAUACAUUAAACACAGUAAACCCCCUAAAAAAUCCACUUCUGUCUCUACAGAAAAAAUGCUGAGAAGUCUGAAAGGACUUGUCUACCAUCCUCUAAAGUUGGACCAUGGAUAUGCCCUCCAUACGGCAGCCAAAGAUUGCUUAAGUUCCAUUGUCAGCCAGGAUGUCCAAACACUGGCAGAAAGACCCAGAACAGUUUUCUAUACCAGCGAGAAUGACCCGGUGAGUUACUGCCACAAUUGUUAUUGUCAGACAGCAAGUGCCUAAAUUCCAUCAGUCUGCCUGUGGACGUGCUGGAGCCCAGAGUGCUUACUGGGAUUGUGUUGUUCUAGUAGACGUAAGGGAAGGGAGUACACAGGCCUAAUAAUAGGCAUCUAGACCAUGAUCCCCAGCCCAAAGGGAAACAGGCUGUGGCUGUGCAGUGCCGCCUGCCUGGGUUUAAACAAGACAGGGCUGGUCCUCUGCCUGAAAGCUCCUGGGAACAAGUAUUGAUUCCUUCUCUAUAGUUGCACAGAUGAGAUGAUAGACUGUGUAUUGUAGAAGCUCAGAUGUGGCUUAGUUUGUCAUCAGACGCCAUUAAUUUCAACUCCAGGGUUAUUCUUCCCUCACUAACCUCCCCAAAUUGGCUAUGAAGGGUGAUAGAAAACACACCCCAGAUGACCUCAGCACAGCACAGCUCUCCAGCAUCAUAAUUCCAGCCUCACACUCUGUCUCAAGCACAAAAUGAAGUGGAAUAAAUGAAUGGAAUAAGCCUUUGAGAUGCUUUUCUGCUGCCUGUGUAAUUGGAGUCUUUCAAUACUGAUUCCUCUGGGGUCUCUAUGGAAACAGCAGCAUGCAGAUGAUCUUGCUCACGUGAUGCAAGUGUCUCUAUAGAUUGCACAGAAGAGUCCAGAUGGCAAGGAUUGUCCCCACUGUCCUGUGCCUACCAUUUAUGUUGCCAGGCAACUGGCUUUGGCAUUCUGACUUCAUGGGCCUGAUGUUUGGCGACAACCACCAUUGCUUAUUAAUUUGUCAGAUCAGUGUUCUUCGGACUUGCUGUAUUGCAGAUCGCAUAUUGCAGCAGAGGGGCUCCGCUGUCUCGCUUCAUCAGCAAACCUGAUAGCUCUGAUGGCACAUGUACUUGUGCACCAUAAAGUCCCAUUAAAAAUGGAUUAAGACCAGAUGAAAACUAAAUUUUUAAUAAGAAUUAGCUUUUAUAUACCUUUCCAUUAGCAAAACUCAGAGUGACUGAACAUGAGGAUAAAGAUACUGACCCACUUUACAGAUGUAGGAACUGAAGAGUGAAGGAAUUUGGCCAAG
Molecule: long non-coding RNA, 1673 nt
Filed under: Buteo japonicus
Lineage: Eukaryota; Metazoa; Chordata; Aves; Accipitriformes; Accipitridae
Description: lncRNA (ENSBJAG00000002865.1)
Source: RNAcentral